RNAcentral lists this ribosomal RNA (501 nucleotides) under uncultured bacterium. RNAcentral's name for it is "partial 16S ribosomal RNA". It matches the Rfam family "Bacterial small subunit ribosomal RNA", at positions 30 to 523 of the family's 1533-position model. The record is from RNAcentral.
AUUGAACGCUGGCGGCAGGCUUAACACAUGCAAGUCGAGCGGAGAUGAGGUGCUUGCACCUUAUCUUAGCGGCGGACGGGUGAGUAAUGCUUAGGAAUCUGCCUAUUAGUGGGGGACAACAUUCCGAAAGGAAUGCUAAUACCGCAUACGUCCUACGGGAGAAAGCAGGGGAUCUUCGGACCUUGCGCUAAUAGAUGAGCCUAAGUCGGAUUAGCUAGUUGGUGGGGUAAAGGCCUACCAAGGCGACGAUCUGUAGCGGGUCUAAGAGGAUGAGCCGCCACACUGGGACUGAGACACGGCCCAGACUCCUACGGGAGGCAGCAGUGGGGAAUAUUGGACAAUGGGGGAAACCCUGAUCCAGCCAUGCCGCGUGUGUGAAGAAGGCCUUAUGGUUGUAAAGCACUUUAAGCGAGGAGGAGGCUACUGAGACUAAUACUCUUGGAUAGUGGACGUUACUCGCAGAAUAAGCACCGGCUAACUCUGUGCCAGCCGCCGCAGUAA